AUGCCGCUGUGUGUCGUUGGAGCCGCCACCAUGCAGGUCCUCCGCGGCCUCCUCACCGUGCCGCCGCAGCCACCGCGGCCUCCUCGCCGCGCCGCGCACCUCCAUAGACCGACACACGGACCGGAGCUUCACCGCGCAGCCGUCGGCGAACGCCGCCACCGCCGGCUCGCCUCCGGCAAGGGGACGACACCCAAGAUGAACCAGCUCUGGUACUAA
Molecule: ribosomal RNA, 216 nt
Filed under: Triticum aestivum (bread wheat)
Lineage: Eukaryota; Viridiplantae; Streptophyta; Magnoliopsida; Poales; Poaceae
Description: partial small subunit ribosomal RNA
Source: RNAcentral